UAUAUUUUUUUAAAAGAAUAUAUUUAAAUUUUAAGUGCUCAUUUGGCCAUGAGUGUCUUUCUUUUUUCAGAAUUUUUUUUUCCCUUUAUUUUAGGUACAACUCCAAGUUGGUGUUUGGGUGAGAUUUCAAAUAUAACUUGGAGAUAUAGUUGAAAAAGUGAAAAUAAGUAUUUUUCUAAGGAAUCACAAUAUCUCACCAAAUAACUGGUCCACACAAAGAACAAAUCAACCACUCUAUUGCACAAAAAAUCCUCUCUCUAAAAUGUUCUCUCCUCGACAAUUUCAGUUAGCUUUCAUCAAUCAUCUUGGUUUUAGCCGUUAUGGCUUUGCUGUCGCCGGCGGAGCCUCUCCGGUCAUCGGACAUUUACCCCCAGGGGCGUCAUGCUUGUAUACGCUCCCCUCAUAAGGCUUCACCCAUACAUUUACCAUAUAUUUCUCCGCAUUUGCAAAACAAUAGCGAGUUAGGGAAUCGAAUUUCUGAGGAACAGUUGCAUUGGGCUUAUGCUAUCAUUUUUCAAGCUCAAUCGGGCAUUUUGAUAAAGGUGUCGGAUAUGAUGACUCUGUCGGCUUCCACAACCCAAUCAGUUGCUCUUCCAAGCAAUCCUAAUACAGGGGAGUCAAUUGUUGCAGCCAAUUCUAGUAGGUUCGAGGGCCUUUUUAUUGCUCUUGUGCAGCGUUAGGAGGUUGAACACGUCUGUUUAGUUGUUGUGAAGAGAUAUGUAUACAAGAAAGCUAAUUCUGUAGCUGAUUCACUGUCUAAGAUCAACCACAAGUCUAAGUUUCCCCUACACUAUUUCCACUGCAGUCAACUUCCACCAAAAGUAACAGGCUACUUUAGGCUGGACAAAAUGGGCAUACCAAGCUUUAGAAGAAAGAAACUACAAAGACCUAAAGAACCUCCUUACAGCUGAUGAUUUCAUUGGUGUUGAUGUCUUGGUGAUACAGAGUCUGGAGUAUCAGUAUGCCUGGAGCAUCAGUAUGCUUGGUGACUGGAAUUUUAAUUUCUAUUUCAUAGUUUUCUUAUUAGUUCUUCAGUUACAUGUACUCUUUUGUUACAUACUCAUGUACUAAUUGCUGAAGACCAGGUUUGUGCCCCCCUUUAUGUACAGAUUCUUCUUCUGAUUAAUGAUAAGGCCGGGGGGUGAUGCUCAGCCCCCUAAAAUUCUUUAUAAAAAAGUAUUUUUUUCACAAAGUCAAACUUGUUUUCACGUUUUUCAUAAAAUUUCAAAAACAACUCCAAGCUAUAUUCAUGUCCAAACACAACUCCGACUCCAAAUUCAAAUCCAAAAACAUAUGGGAAAAUGGCUACUAAGUGGCCGUUUGGAAAUGAGACAGGAAGUUAUGAUAUGAAAUCAUGAUCUAAAAUUAUGAGAUGAAGUUGAAGUCUUGUUUGGACAUGGAACUUAGACUUUUUAUGUAUGUUUUCUUAUGAACAUAAAAGUCUCAUGAGUUGUGAAAACUAUCAAAAUUGACCCAAUUCUUUAUACAAUCAUUACAAAAUAAGGAAAAGUUUAUAACAAAGUAUAAUGCACUGUCACAAAGCUACAAUAAAAAAUACAUUAUUAAUUGACUAAAUUUUAGUUCAAUGAAAAAAUUAAGUUGAAUAUGAGUUGUAGUGUACUACUCUACUAUAAUCCUUCCAUAUAAUACGGAGUAUCUCCUCACGUUGAGCGUGUAUUUCUUGAUUAAAUAACUAAGAAGACUGAUCAACAUUAUUACUUGGAGUC
Capsicum annuum is the source of this 1727-nucleotide RNA transcript. RefSeq lists it as uncharacterized. The record is from RefSeq and is a predicted model, not a curated record. NCBI's taxonomy places the organism in Eukaryota, Viridiplantae, Streptophyta, Magnoliopsida, Solanales, Solanaceae. The transcript has 3 exons.